AACCUUCCUAGGGGUACGGAACAACUCAGGGAAACUUGAGCUAAUACCGUAUACGUCCGUAAGGAGAAAGAUUCAUCGCCCCUAGACGGGCCCGCGUAGGAUUAGGUAGUUGGUGAGGUAACGGCUCACCAAGCCUACGAUCCUUAGCUGAUCUGAGAGGAUGAUCAGCCACACUGGGACUGAGACACGGCCCAGACUCCUACGGGAGGCAGCAGUGGGGAAUCUUGGACAAUGGGCGCAAGCCUGAUCCAGCCAUGCCGCGUGAGU
Molecule: ribosomal RNA, 267 nt
Filed under: uncultured bacterium
Lineage: Bacteria
Description: partial 16S ribosomal RNA
Rfam family: Bacterial small subunit ribosomal RNA
Source: RNAcentral